This 277-nucleotide long non-coding RNA is filed under the name Elaeis guineensis (African oil palm). Its description in RNAcentral is "long non-coding RNA (EGUI_LNC017849)". Lineage: Eukaryota; Viridiplantae; Streptophyta; Magnoliopsida; Arecales; Arecaceae. The record is from RNAcentral.
GGCAUCGCAUGGUGCCGCAUGGUUGUCUUUAAAUACCGACGGCGAGCAUGCCUUCUAUUCAGUGCGCUCAUGACGGCAGACGCUACUGAAUGUGGGGCAUAAUAAAUGAUCCUGUGGGCGCAUUUAAUAAGAUCGUAGUAUCUCAUCAUUGUGUACAGCUAGCAGAUUAGGAUAUGGUGUCUGAGUGAUAUGACCUUGAUGUGGCCUGUCAGAGUCGUAUGAUGACAAUGUUCGAUGCUCAGUUAGUUGGCAGAGGUCCGCAUUAUCGGAGUCAGCA